GACGAACGCUGGCGGCGUGCCUAACACAUGCAAGUCGAACGGAAAACAUAGCAAUAUGUUUUUAGUGGCGAACGGGUGAGUAACGCGUAGACAACCAACCUUUUUGUGGGGGACAACACUUCGAAAGGAGUGCUAAUACCGCAUGCGCUCCAGUUGCCGCCUCGCAUUUGGAGGCAAGGAGCUUUACGGCUUCGCAGCAAGACGGGUCUGCGUCUGACUAGCAAGUUGGUGGGGUAACGGCCCACCAAGGCGACGAUCAGUAGCCGGUCUGAGAGGAUGGACGGCCACACUGGGACGGAGACACGGGCCAGACUCCUAAGGGAGGCAGCAGUGGGGAAUCUUCCGCAAUGGACGAAAGUCUGACGGAGCGACGCCGCGUGAGUGAUGAAGGCCCUUGGGUCGUAAAGCUCUGUCAUCAGGGACGAACGGUCACGUCAGGAAAUGGGCGUGAAUUGACGGUACCUGAGAAGGAAGCCACGGCUAACUACGUGCCAGCCGCCGCAGUA
RNAcentral lists this ribosomal RNA (506 nucleotides) under uncultured bacterium. RNAcentral describes it as "partial 16S ribosomal RNA". It matches the Rfam family "Bacterial small subunit ribosomal RNA", at positions 28 to 522 of the family's 1533-position model. The record is from RNAcentral.